RNAcentral lists this long non-coding RNA (200 nucleotides) under Capsicum annuum. RNAcentral describes it as "long non-coding RNA (CANN_LNC018542)". The record is from RNAcentral. Lineage: Eukaryota; Viridiplantae; Streptophyta; Magnoliopsida; Solanales; Solanaceae.
AAUAAAUCUGUCAACUCAUCUUUGUUCUUGCAAGGCUUGUGUGCAUCUUUUGUUGAAUUAAGUAAGAAACUUUGGCCUCUCAUAUCAACUUGUAAAAUCUCGUGAUUAGUGGAAUCAAAGAUUCGACAAUAUUUAUCUCCAAAUAAUAAUUUAAAUCUUUCUUCAAUUAGCUGGCCAACAUUUAACAAACUUUUAUUAAU